CCCAGAUUGAGGGAGUAGAAAUCUUCCAAAAGCAGAAUAUUGAAAGGGGGAAAAGAAAGAAGAGAGGUGUUUGUAUUGAGCACACCGGGCACCCAGGUGGCGUGCUCUGCAGCAGGACAUAAGCAACAACAUGACAGACUAAUGCAACGGGCAAUCUUUGCAUUGUGAAUCCUUGCUCAAUAUUCAAUCACAAAGAGACAAAACAAGUAAAAUCUAAUUUAACUGAAAAGUGUUAGCAAACAGGAAAGAGAGACAAUUCACAAGAAGACACAAACUUGUAAGUAUAGGCACCAUUCCCAAAC
RNAcentral lists this long non-coding RNA (302 nucleotides) under Fukomys damarensis (Damara mole-rat). RNAcentral describes it as "lncRNA (ENSFDAG00000021817.1)". The record is from RNAcentral. Lineage: Eukaryota; Metazoa; Chordata; Mammalia; Rodentia; Bathyergidae.